Non-coding RNA from Triticum aestivum (bread wheat), 135 nucleotides. The record is from Rfam. Lineage: Eukaryota; Viridiplantae; Streptophyta; Magnoliopsida; Poales; Poaceae.
AAAGUAUUACCUCUGUCCCUAAUUACUUGUCUUACAUUUGUUUAGAUAUGAACGUAUCUAGACACGUUUUAGUGUUAAAUAAAUUGGUAUUUAGACGAACCUAAGACACGUAAUUUGAAACAGAGGGGGUAUUAA